GGAAUAUAAGAACCUAACUCUUAACUUUUAACUAAAAAAACUAAGAACCGGCUCUUAAAUAAGAGUUUUAAGAGACGGUUCUUAGCUUUUUUUAGUUAAAAAUUAAAAGACGGGUUGUUAUAUUUC
This is a microRNA precursor of Brassica oleracea var. oleracea, 126 nucleotides long. It matches the Rfam family "MIR9563 microRNA precursor family". NCBI's taxonomy places the organism in Eukaryota, Viridiplantae, Streptophyta, Magnoliopsida, Brassicales, Brassicaceae. The record is from Rfam.